CAGAGAUGGACGUUCAUCUGCACAUCCUCAGUGUCUCAGGAGUCACAAUAAACACACUAAAUAAAGUCAUGAUUGUGUAACUCUAGUGUAUAUGAGUGUGUUGUCAGCACAAGCUGUUGUAAAUCCUGCCCACUUCUUUGCAUUGUCAGCACAUGCUUCAGUGCUCUGAGAGUGUUUAUAGUGCUGUGAGUUUAACACUUCAUGACUGAGAGCAGAACACACACACUCUUCAUCAUCACACAAGACUAAACUACAACUAUGAACAACAUCUGCAUCUUCAUCUGGACCAUUGCACUGUUUGCUCAAGAAUCCAGAGGAGUGACUCUGACUCAACCUGAAGUUGAAACUGUCCAACUGAGUCAAACAGCAACAAUAGAGUGUCAUAUAGAUGUAGGAAUAUAUGACGAUCGUUUAGCCUGGUAUCAGCAGAAACCUGGAGAAGCUCCUAAACUCCUGAUUUAUUGGAUAAACAGCCGUUAUUCUGGAACUCCAUCUAGAUUCAGUGGCAGUGGAACAAGACAUACUGGACGAGAUUUUACUCUGAUUAUCAGUGGAGUCCAGACUGAAGAUACAGGAGAUUAUUACUGUCAGAGUUAUCACAGUGGUGGUGUGUUCACACAGUGAUAAAGAGUCGUACAAAAACCUCUGUCAGUCAGACGUCACAGUGACUGCACUGAUACAGCUGAGAGAAACUGCAGCUGCUGAUGGAGGAUCACACACACUACACAAUAUCAAUGUCU
Pimephales promelas (fathead minnow) is the source of this 740-nucleotide non-coding RNA. The record is from the annotation of a RefSeq genome assembly. Lineage: Eukaryota; Metazoa; Chordata; Actinopteri; Cypriniformes; Leuciscidae.